UACGUAGGAUGCAAGCGUUGUCCGGAUUUACUGGGCGUAAAGCGCGCGCAGGCGGCAGUACAAGUACCCUCUGAAAUCUCCUUGCUCAACGAGGAGGGUGGAGGGUAGACUGUGCAGCUAGAGGAGGGUAGAGGGGGGUAGAAUUGCUGGUGUAGCGGUGAAAUGCGCAGAUAUCAGGAAGAACACCUAUGGCGAAGGCAGCUCUCUGGGACGGUACUGACGCUGAGACGCGAAAGCGUGGGGAGCGAACAGG
RNAcentral lists this ribosomal RNA (253 nucleotides) under uncultured bacterium. RNAcentral's name for it is "partial 16S ribosomal RNA". It matches the Rfam family "Bacterial small subunit ribosomal RNA", at positions 524 to 776 of the family's 1533-position model. The record is from RNAcentral.